The sequence is a ribosomal RNA, 270 nucleotides long. It matches the Rfam family "Bacterial large subunit ribosomal RNA", at positions 246 to 468 of the family's 2925-position model.
GUGGCGAGCGAAACUGGAUGAGGCCAAACCGUAGGCGUGUGAUACCCGGCAGGGGUUGCGCUUUCGGGGUUGUGGGAGUGUGCUGGAUCGGUCUGCCGGCCGGUCGGAGAGUCAGAAACCGUUGGUGUAGUCGAAGGACAUGCGAAAGGUCCGGCGUAGAGGGUAAGACCCCCGUAGACGAAACAUCAGCGGCUCUCUUGCAUGUUUUCCCAAGUAGCACGGGGCCCGAGAAAUCCUGUGUGAAUCUGGCGGGACCACCCGCUAAGCCUA